GGCCCCCGGGUCCGACCUCCCAACCUUUGUAACCAUCCCGUGCUUCGGGGGCGACCCUGCCGGGCGCCCCCGGAGGACCACACAACACUGCAUCUUUGCGUCGGAGUUUACGAGUAAAUCGAAACAAAACUUUCAACAACGGAUCUCUUGGUUCUGGCAUCGAUGAAGAACGCAGCGAAAUGCGAUAAGUAAUGUGAAUUGCAGAAUUCAGUGAAUCAUCGAAUCUUUGAACGCACAUUGCGCCCCCUGGUAUUCCGGGGGGCAUGCCCGUUCGAGCGUCAUUACACCACUCCAGCCUCGCUGGGUAUUGGGCGUUUCGCGGGGGAGCAAUCCCCCGCGCGCCUCAAAGUCUCCGGCUGAGCGGUCUCGUCUCCCAGCGUUGUGGCAUCACGUCUCGCCGCGGAGUUUCGAGCCCUCACGGCCGUUAAAUCACACCUCAGGUUGACCUCGGAUCGGGUAGGGAUACCCGCUGAACUUAAGCAUA
This 484-nucleotide ribosomal RNA is filed under the name Zymoseptoria tritici. Its description in RNAcentral is "eukaryotic LSU rRNA". The stretch from base 128 to 281 matches the Rfam family "5.8S ribosomal RNA". Lineage: Eukaryota; Fungi; Ascomycota; Dothideomycetes; Mycosphaerellales; Mycosphaerellaceae. The record is from RNAcentral.